AAAUAUGAUCUGACAUAUCUCGAAAAUCUCCUCUCUCCUCUCUCUGCUCCCUCCUCUUCUCCCUUUUCCUUCGGUUUCUUUUAUGGCAGUUUCUCCUAGGGUCAGGGUUUCAGAUCCGUCAUGGGAAAUUCCGGUCCCAAAAUACAAACGGGCUCUAGUCGAAUUACGCCAGCGAAAAAACAACGCCUUCCACCUCUCUAUUCUAAAGCCAACCAAACGGUAUUCAUUCAGCUCAUUGUUACUUUUUUUUUAUUAUUAUGUUUCUGUUUUAUUUUAAGGAACAGAUUGAUUGGUUAUCUGGCAAGGCAAUGAGGUAUUCUAUGUAAAAAGCUUUGCAAAAAGGGUUAAUGGUGCAUCUAGUGCCCCUGUUCUCUGAUUUUUCUUGUUUUGGCCCCUUUAGAUAAUUGUUUUGCACAGAAUGCUUUUUACUGCAGCCAUGACUUCUCAUGUUCUUUACUUAUGAUCGUAUGGUAAGAAAGAAAUACUAGCCUCACCGUGUUCCUUUUAUUGAAAUGCGUUGGAAAUUAAGAAUAUGAUAUGGUCACGAUUUCUUCAGUGUUAUUGUUUUUCUAUGAUCUUCAUCCUUGUAUUCCUAUAAAAAGAAAGGUAAUGCACUGAGGCUAAGAUGAUAUUUUUUAUGGAAAUUUCAUACAUAUUGUUUUAAGGAACAAAGUGAUUGGUUAUUUGGCAAGGCAAUGCGGUGUUCUGUGCAAAAAGAAUUAAUGGCAUUAUAUAGUCCUUCUGUUUUCUGAUUUUUCCUGUUCUGGUCCCUUUAAAUAAUUGUUUUGCACAGAAUGCCUUUUACUGCAGCCAUGACUUCUCAUGUUUUUUACUUAUGAUCAUAUGGUCAAAGGGGAAUCCUAGCCUCACCGUGUUCCUUUUAUUGAAAUGCGUUGGAAAUUAAGAAUAUGGUCACUAUUUCUUUAAUGUUAUUGUUUUUUCAUGAUCUUCAUCCUUGUUUUCCUAUAAAAAGAAAGGUAAUGCACUGAGGUUAAGAUGAUUUUUUUUACGGAAAGUUCAUACAUAUUGUUUUAAGGAACAAAUUGAUUGGUUAUUUGGCAAGGCAAUGAGGUGUUCUGUGCAAAAAGAAUUGAUGGCGUAUUAAGUCCCUCUGUUUUCUGAUUUUUCCUGUUCUGGUCCCUUUAAAUAAUUGUUUUGCACAGAAUGCCUUUUACUGCAGCCAUGACUUCUCAUGUUCUUUACUUAUGAUCAUAUGGUCAAAGGGGAAUCCUAGCCUCACCGUGUUCCUUUUAUUGAAAGGCGUUGGAAAUUAAGAAUAUGGUCACUAUUUCUUUAGUGUUAUUGUUUUUUCAUGAUCUUCAUCCUUGUUUUCCUAUAAAAAGAAAGGUAAUGCACUGAGGCUAAGAUGAUAUUUUUUACGGAAAGUUUCAUACAUGUUGUUUUAAGGAACAAAUUGAUUGGUUAUUUGGCAAGGCAAUGAGGUGUUCUGUGCAAAAAGAAUUGAUGGUGUAUAAAGUCCCUCUGUGUUCUGAUUUUUCCUGUUCUGGUCCCUUUAAAUAAUUGUUUUGCACAGAAUGCCUUUUACUGAAGCCAUGACUACUCAUGUUCUUUACUUAUGAUCAUAUGGUCAAAAGGGAAUCCUAGCCUCACCGUGUUCCUUUUAUUGAAAUGCGUUGGAAAUUAUGAAUAUGGUCACUAUUUCUUUAGUGUUCUUGUUUUUUCAUGAUCUUCAUCCUUCUUUUCCUAUAAAAAGAAAGGUAAUGCACUGAGGUUAAGAUGAUUUUUUUACGGAAAGUUUCAUACAUAUUGUUUUAAGGGACAAAUUGAUUGGUUAUUUGGCAAGGCAAUGAGGUGUUCUGUGCAAAAAGAAUUGAUGGCAUAUAAAGUCCCUCUGUUUUCUGAUUUUUCCUGUUCUGGUCCCUUUAAAUAAUUGUUUUGCACAGAAUGCCUUUUACUGCAGCCAUGACUUCUCAUGUUCUUUACUUAUGAUCAUAUGGUCAAAGGGGAAUCCUAGCCUCACCGUGUUCCUUUUAUUGAAACGCGUUGGAAAUUAAGAAUAUGGUCACUAUUUCUUUAAUGUUAUUGUUUUUUCAUGAUCUUCAUCCUUGUUUUCCUAUAAAAAGAAAGGUAAUGCACUGAGGCUAAGAUGAUUUUUUUACGGAAAGUUUCAUACAUGUUGUUUUAAGGAACAAAUUGAUUGGUUAUUUGGCAAGGCAAUGAGGUGUUCUGUGCAAAAAGAAUUGAUGGUGUAUAAAGUCCCUCUGUGUUCUGAUUUUUCCUGUUCUGGUCCCUUUAAAUAAUUGUUUUGCACAGAAUGCCUUUUACUGAAGCCAUGACUACUCAUGUUUUUUACUUAUGAUCAUAUGGUCAAAAGGGAAUCCUAGCCUCACCGUGUUCCUUUUAUUGAAAUGCGUUGGAAAUUAUGAAUAUGGUCACUAUUUCUUUAGUGUUCUUGUUUUUUCAUGAUCUUCAUCCUUCUUUUCCUAUAAAAAGAAAGGUAAUGCACUGAGGUUAAGAUGAUUUGUUUUACGGAAAGUUUCAUACAUAUUGUUUUAAGGGACAAAUUGAUUGGUUAUUUGGCAAGGCAAUGAGGUGUUCUGUGCAAAAAGAAUUGAUGGCAUAUAAAGUCCCUCUGUUUUCUGAUUUUUCCUGUUCUGGUCCCUUUAAAUAAUUGUUUUGCACAGAAUGCCUUUUACUGCAGCCAUGACUUCUCUUCUUUACUUAUGAUCAUAUGGUCAAGGGGAUCCUAGCCUCACCGUGUUCCUUUUAUUGAAACGCGUUGGAAAUUAAGAAUAUGGUCACUAUUUCUUUAAUGUUAUUGUUUUUUCAUGAUCUUCAUCCUUGUUUUCCUAUAAAAAGAAAGGUAAUGCACUGAGGCUAAGAUGAUAUUUUUUACGGAAAGUUUCAUACAUGUUGUUUUAAGGAACAAAUUGAUUGGUUAUUUGGCAAGGCAAUGAGGUGUUCUGUGCAAAAAGAAUUGAUGGUGUAUAAAGUCCCUCUGUGUUCUGAUUUUUCCUGUUCUUGUCCCUUUAAAUAAUUGUUUUGCACAGAAUGCCUUUUAUUGCAGCCAUGAUUUCUCAUAUUUUUUACUUAUGAUCAUAUGGUCAAAAGGGAAUCCUAGCCUCACCGUGUUCCUUUUAUUGAAAUGCGUUGGAAAUUAAGAAUAUGGUCACAAUUUCUUUAGUGUUAUUGUUUUUUCAUGAUCUUCAUCCUUGGUUUCCUAUAAAAAGAAAGGUAAUGCACUGAGGCUAUGAUGAUAUUUUUUACGGAAAGUUCAUACAUAUUGUUUUAAGGAACAAAUUGAUUGGUUAUUUGGCAAGGCAAUGAGGUGUUCUGUGCAAAAAGAAUUGAUGGCGUAUUAGUCCCUCUGUUUUCUGAUUUUUCCUGUUCUGGUCCCUUUAGAUAAUUGUUUUGCACAGAAUGCCUUUUACUGCAGCCAUGACUUCUCAUGUUCUUUACUUGUGAUCAUAUGGUCAAAGGGGAAUCCUAGCCUCACCGUGUUCCUUUUAUUGAAAUGCGUUGGAAAUUAAGAAUAUGAUAUGGUCACGAUUUCUUCAGUGUUAUUGUUUUUCUAUGAUCUUCAUCCUUGUAUUCCUAUAAAAAGAAAGGUAAUGCACUGAGGCUUAGAUGAUAUUUUUUAUGGAAAAUUUCAUACAUAUUGUUUUAAGGAACAAAUUGAUUGGUUAUUUGGCAAGGCAAUGAGGUGUUCUGUGCAAAAAGAAUUGAUGGCAUAUAUAGUCCCUCUGUUUUCUGAUUUUUCCUGUUUUGGUCCCUUUAAAUAAUUGUUUUGCACAGAAUGCCUUUUACUGCAGCCAUGACUUCUCAUGUUUUUUACUUAUGAUCAUAUGGUCAAAGGGGAAUCCUAGCCCCACCGUGUUCCUAUUAUUGAAAUGCGUUGGAAAUUAAGAAUAUGGUCACUAUUUAUUUAGUGUUAUUGUUUUUUCAUGAUCUUCAUCCUUGUUUUCCUAUAAAAAGAAAUGUAAUGCACUAAGGCUAAGAUGAUAUUUUUUACAGAAAAUUUCAUACAUAUUGUUUUAAGGAACAAACUGAUUGGUUAUUUGGCAAGACAAUGAGGUGUCAUGUGAGAUUUAAUGGUGCAUCUAGUCCCAUUGUUCUCAGAUUUUUCUUGUUCUGGUCCUUUUAGAUGAUUUUUUUAUACAAAAUGCUUUUUUUGGCAGCCACAACCUCUUAUGCUCCUUGCUUAUGAUUGUAUGAUAAAACACAAAUCUUAGCCUCUCUAUGUUCCUUCGGUUGAAUUGCGCUGGAAAUUGAAAAUAGGGUCAAGUUUUGUUUACUAAUAUCGUUUGGUCAUGAUCUUUCUUUCUUUCCCUAUAAAACAGAAGGUAAUGCAAUGAGGCUACAAAGAUAUUUUUAAUGGAAAAUUCCAUGCAUGUGAUUAUAAGGAACAAAUUGAAUUGUUAUUUGGCCUCAAUGAGGUGUUUUGUUCAAAAAAGGUUAAUGGUGUAUCUAGUCCCUUUGCUCUCUGAUUUGUCUUGUUCUGGUCCCUCUAGAUAGUUGUUUUGUACAUAAUUCCUUUAUCGCAUCCAUUACCUCUCCGGUCCCUCCAGUUUUAAGGAACUCCUCAAUGUUCUAAAAGGAAAAAUCUCUUGGUGAACAAGUUUGAGACAACUGGCUUUGCCACACACCAAAUGAUGUCGUUAGACUUGGUGCUAUAUCCUACAUUGAUUUCUGAAGUUGGUUCAAUAGUUAUGGUAUACCUUCAUGUGAAUGAAAGUCAUGCUAUAUAAUCUGCUUUUAUAUUAUGAAUUGAAUUUUGAAUUCUUUUCAGUUAUUAUCCUCAAGGUAAGUUCUAGUUAAUUGGGUGGUGUGAAUUAGCUAAUAAUUUGGAAGAUUUGCCUGCAUUUCUUGCUUCUUAUAUCUGUCAGAUGACCUUCUUAAUUGGAGAAUAAACUACAACAAAUAUACAAGUUUCAAGAGAAAAAUAGAUGAUCUUGUGCAUGAUCUCAAAGUAUUUGGAAUGGCCAAUUACCUCUAGAUAAUUGAGUUUACGUUGUUUUUUUUUUUUUAAUAGAAGAGAUAAUGCAGAUAAUGCAGGAUAACACUACCCAAGAAAGCAUAUCCAACACUGAUACUCACAAUGUGAUUGGAAAAUCUGG
Molecule: long non-coding RNA, 5078 nt
Filed under: Populus tremula
Lineage: Eukaryota; Viridiplantae; Streptophyta; Magnoliopsida; Malpighiales; Salicaceae
Description: long non-coding RNA (PTRE_LNC000415)
Source: RNAcentral